This 497-nucleotide ribosomal RNA is filed under the name uncultured bacterium. RNAcentral's name for it is "partial 16S ribosomal RNA". It matches the Rfam family "Bacterial small subunit ribosomal RNA", at positions 28 to 507 of the family's 1533-position model. The record is from RNAcentral.
GAUGAACGCUGGCGGCGUGCCUAAUACAUGCAAGUCGAGCGAACAGACGAGGAGCUUGCUCCUCUGACGUUAGCGGCGGACGGGUGAGUAACACGUGGAUAACCUACCUAUAAGACUGGGAUAACUUCGGGAAACCGGAGCUAAUACCGGAUAAUAUAUUGAACCGCAUGGUUCAAUAGUGAAAGACGGUUUUGCUGUCACUUAUAGAUGGAUCCGCGCCGCAUUAGCGAGUUGGUAAGGUAACGGCUUACCAAGGCAACGAUUCGUAGCCGACCUGAGGGGGUGGGCGGCCACACUGGAACUGAGACACGGUCCAGACGCCUACGGAAGGCAGCAGUAGGGAAUCUUCCGCAAUGGGAGAAAGCCUGACGGAGCAGCGCCGCGUGAGUGAUGAAGGUCUUCGGAUCGUAAAACUCUGUUAUUAGGGAAGAACAAAUGUGUAAGUAACUAUGCACUUCUUGACGGUACCUAAUCAGAAAGCCACGGCUAACUACGUG